Molecule: long non-coding RNA, 326 nt
Filed under: Capsella rubella
Lineage: Eukaryota; Viridiplantae; Streptophyta; Magnoliopsida; Brassicales; Brassicaceae
Description: long non-coding RNA (CRUB_LNC002403)
Source: RNAcentral
AAAAUUAUAAGUAAUUCAAUUUAGUUAGUCAAAUUUUUUUAGUUAAGAAUUAGAACACCUUUAAACAGAAACAUUUACACUACAUAAAAAUUGUUGAACUCUAUGAGACCAAACUAAUGGGAUACUAAUUCCAGUUUUUUUUUUUUUAUCAACGCACUAAACUUUAAACAUGUAGAUUUUUUAAUUUUUAGAAAUAAAACCAUUUUGGUUGGUCAAAACUUUUGUAAAUAGUUAAAACAACAAAUUGAUAUAAACAAAGCACUAAACUUAGUUAAUCAUUAAUUUAUAAUACGUAAAAAUAUGUUAAACUUAUGACACCAAAUUAA